This 1244-nucleotide ribosomal RNA is filed under the name Phytoplasma sp. Its description in RNAcentral is "bacterial SSU rRNA". It matches the Rfam family "Bacterial small subunit ribosomal RNA", at positions 153 to 1399 of the family's 1533-position model. The record is from RNAcentral. Lineage: Bacteria; Bacillati; Mycoplasmatota; Mollicutes; Acholeplasmatales; Acholeplasmataceae.
GAAACGACUGCUAAGACUGGAUAGGAGAUAAGAAGGCAUCUUCUUAUUUUUAAAAGACCUAGCAAUAGGUAUGCUUAGGGAAGAGCUUGCGUCACAUUAGUUAGUUGGUGGGGUAAUGGCCUACCAAGACGAUGAUGUGUAGCCGGGCUGAGAGGUCGAACGGCCACAUUGGGACUGAGACACGGCCCAAACUCCUACGGGAGGCAGCAGUAAGGAAUUUUCGGCAAUGGAGGAAACUCUGACCGAGCAAUGCCGCGUGAACGAUGAAGUAUUUUGGUACGUAAAGUUCUUUUAUUAGGGAAGAAAAGAUGGUGGAAAAACCAUUAUGACGGUACCUAAUGAAUAAGCCCCGGCUAACUAUGUGCCAGCAGCCGCGGUAAUACAUAGGGGGCAAGCGUUAUCCGGAAUUAUUGGGCGUAAAGGGUGCGUAGGCGGUUAAAUAAGUUUAUGGUCUAAGUGCAACGCUCAACGUUGUGAUGCUAUAAAAACUGUUUAGCUAGAGUUGGAUAGAGGCAAGUGGAAUUCCGUGUGUAGUGGUAAAAUGCGUAAAUAUACGGAGGAACACCAGAAGCGAAGGCGGCUUGCUGGGUCUUAACUGACGCUGAGGCACGAAAGCGUGGGGAGCAAACAGGAUUAGAUACCCUGGUAGUCCACGCCCUAAACGAUGAGUACUAAACGUUGGAUAAAACCAGUGUUGAAGUUAACACAUUAAGUACUCCGCCUGAGUAGUACGUACGCAAGUAUGAAACUUAAAGGAAUUGACGGGACUCCGCACAAGCGGUGGAUCAUGUUGUUUAAUUCGAAGGUACCCGAAAAACCUCACCAGGUCUUGACAUGCUUUUGCAAAGCUGUAGAAAUACAGUGGAGGUUAUCAGAAGCACAGGUGGUGCAUGGUUGUCGUCAGCUCGUGUCGUGAGAUGUUGGGUUAAGUCCCGCAACGAGCGCAACCCUUGUUGUUAAUUGCCAUCAUUAAGUUGGGGACUUUAGCAAGACUGCCAAUGAUAAAUUGGAGGAAGGUGGGGACGACGUCAAAUCAUCAUGCCCCUUAUGACCUGGGCUACAAACGUGAUACAAUGGCUGUUACAAAGGGUAGCUAAAGCGUAAGCUUCUGGCGAAUCUCAAAAAAGCAGUCUCAGUUCGGAUUGAAGUCUGCAACUCGACUUCAUGAAGUUGGAAUCGCUAGUAAUCGCGAAUCAGCAUGUCGCGGUGAAUACGUUCUCGGGGUUUGUACACCCCGCCCGUCA